CCUCGGGGGGCUGCAGUGGGGAAUAUUGGACAAUGGGCGAAAGCCUGAUCCAGCCAUGCCGCGUGUGUGAAGAAGGCCUUCGGGUUGUAAAGCACUUUCAGUGGGGAAGAAAGCCUUGGGGCUAAUACCCUCGAGGUAGGACAUCACCCACAGAAGAAGCACCGGCUAACUCCGUGCCAGCAGCCGCGGUAAUACGGAGGGUGCGGGCGUUAAUCGGAAUUACUGGGCGUAAAGCGCGCGUAGGCGGUCUGAUAAGCCGGUUGUGAAAGCCCCGGGCUCAACCUGGGAACGGCAUCCGGAACUGUCAGGCUAGAGUGCAGGAGAGGAAGGUAGAAUUCCCGGUGUAGCGGUGAAAUGCGUAGAGAUCGGGAGGAAUACCAGUGGCGAAGGCGGCCUUCUGGACUGACACUGACGCUGAGGUGCGAAAGCGUGGGUAGCAAACAGGAUUAGAUACCCGAGUAGUC
This 464-nucleotide ribosomal RNA is filed under the name Vreelandella stevensii. RNAcentral describes it as "partial 16S ribosomal RNA". It matches the Rfam family "Bacterial small subunit ribosomal RNA", at positions 339 to 795 of the family's 1533-position model. Lineage: Bacteria; Pseudomonadati; Pseudomonadota; Gammaproteobacteria; Oceanospirillales; Halomonadaceae. The record is from RNAcentral.